RNAcentral lists this ribosomal RNA (181 nucleotides) under uncultured bacterium. Its description in RNAcentral is "partial 16S ribosomal RNA". It matches the Rfam family "Bacterial small subunit ribosomal RNA", at positions 1303 to 1500 of the family's 1533-position model. The record is from RNAcentral.
GGCUGAAACUCGCCUCUUUGAAGUCGGAAUCGCUAGUAAUCGCAGAUCAGCAUGUUGCGGUGAAUACGUUCCCGGGUCUUGUACACACCGCCCGUCAAACCAUGAGAGUCGCCAACACCCGAAGUCCACCUAGUGGCCUAAGGUGGGGGAGAUGAUUGGGGUUAAGUCGUAACAAGGUAAC